Molecule: transfer RNA, 72 nt
Filed under: Mangrovibacterium marinum
Lineage: Bacteria; Pseudomonadati; Bacteroidota; Bacteroidia; Marinilabiliales; Prolixibacteraceae
Also listed under: 1 other name
Rfam family: tRNA
About the family: Transfer RNA (tRNA) molecules are approximately 80 nucleotides in length. Their secondary structure includes four short double-helical elements and three loops (D, anti-codon, and T loops). Further hydrogen bonds mediate the characteristic L-shaped molecular structure. tRNAs have two regions of fundamental functional importance: the anti-codon, which is responsible for specific mRNA codon recognition, and the 3' end, to which the tRNAs corresponding amino acid is attached (by aminoacyl-tRNA synthetases). tRNAs cope with the degeneracy of the genetic code in two manners: having more than one tRNA (with a specific anti-codon) for a particular amino acid; and 'wobble' base-pairing, i.e. permitting non-standard base-pairing at the 3rd anti-codon position.
Source: Rfam by way of RNAcentral
GCCGGAGUAGCUCAGGGGUAGAGCGCAUCCUUGGUAAGGAUGAGGUCACGAGUUCAAAUCUCGUCUUCGGCU